UACGUAGGGGGCAAGCGUUGUCCGGAAUCAUUGGGCGUAAAGAGCGUGUAGGCGGUUCGGUAAGUCGGCUGUGAAAGUCCAGGGCUCAACCCUGGGAUGCCGGUUGAUACUGCCGGACUAGAGUUCGGAAGAGGCGAGUGGAAUUCCCGGUGUAGCGGUGAAAUGCGCAGAUAUCGGGAGGAACACCUAUGGCGAAGGCAGCUCGCUGGGACGUUACUGACGCUGAGACGCGAAAGCGUGGGGAGCAAACAGG
This 253-nucleotide ribosomal RNA is filed under the name uncultured bacterium. RNAcentral's name for it is "partial 16S ribosomal RNA". It matches the Rfam family "Bacterial small subunit ribosomal RNA", at positions 524 to 776 of the family's 1533-position model. The record is from RNAcentral.